Molecule: ribosomal RNA, 876 nt
Filed under: uncultured Bacillota bacterium
Lineage: Bacteria; Bacillati; Bacillota
Description: bacterial SSU rRNA
Rfam family: Bacterial small subunit ribosomal RNA
Source: RNAcentral
AGAGUUUGAUCAUGGCUCAGGAUGAACGCUGGCGGCGUGCCUAACACAUGCAAGUCGAGGAGAUACUGUUGAACAGAGAUUCGUCAACGGGAUACAGUGGAAAGCGGCGGACGGGUGAUAACGCGUAGGCAACCUGCCCCUUACACAGGGAUAGCCAUUGGAAACGAUGAUUAAAACUGAUGACACCUGAGGAUGACAUCUUCCUGAGGUCAAAGAUUUAUCGGUAAGGGAUGGGCUGCGUCUGAUUAGAUAGUUGGUGAGGUAACGGCCCACCAAGUCAACGAUCAGUAGCCGACUGAGAGGGUGAUCGGCCACAUUGGAACUGAGACACGGUCCAAACUCCUACGGGAGGCACAGUGGGGAAUAUUGCACAAUGGGGGAAACCCUGAUGCAGCAACGCCGCGUGAAGGAAGAGGUCUUCGGAUCGUAAACUUCUGUCCUAGAGGAAGAUAAUGACGGUACUCUUGGAGGAGCCCCGGCUAACUACGUGCCAGCAGCCGCGGUAAUACGUAGGGGGCAAGCGUUAUCCGGAUUAUUGGGCGUAAAGAGUGCGUAGGUGGUUACCUAAGCAGGGGGUGAAAGGCACUGGCUAACCAAUGUCAGCCCCCUGAACUGGGCUACUUGAGUGCAGGAGAGGAAAGUGGAAUUCUAGUGUAGCGGUGAAAUGCGUAGAUAUUAGGAGGAACACCAGUGGCGAAGGCGACUUUCGGACUGUUACUGACACUGAGGCACGAAAGUGUGGGGAGCAAACAGGAUUAGAUACCCUGUAGUCCACACCGUAAACGAUGAGCACUAGUGUCGGGGGAGCAAUUUCUCGGUGCCGCAGUAACGCAUUAAGUGCUCCGCCUGGGGAGUACGUACGCAAGUAUGAAACUC